UACGGGGGGAGCAAGCGUUGUUCGGAUUUACUGGGCGUAAAGGGCGCGUAGGCGGCCACCGCAAGUCGACUGUGAAAUCUCCGGGCUUAACCCGGAAAGGUCAGCCGAUACUGCGGGGCUAGAGUGCAGAAGGGGCAACUGGAAUUCUCGGUGUAGCGGUGAAAUGCGUAGAUAUCGAGAGGAACACCGGUGGCGAAGGCGACAUCCUGGACCGGUAUUGACGCUGAGGCGCGAAAGCCAGGGGAGCAAACGGG
Molecule: ribosomal RNA, 254 nt
Filed under: uncultured bacterium
Lineage: Bacteria
Description: partial 16S ribosomal RNA
Rfam family: Bacterial small subunit ribosomal RNA
Source: RNAcentral